GCGCGAAAACUCCGCAAUGCGCGAAAGCGUGACGGGGGAACCCCAAGUGCCGUUGGUCUUUUGAUCGGCGGCUUUUCAGGAGUCUAAGAAGCUCCUGGAAUAAGGGCUGGGUAAGUCGGGUGCCAGCCGCCGCGGUAAUACCCGCAGCCCAAGUGGUGGUCGCGAUUAUUGGGCCUAAAGCGCUCGUAGCCGGGCCGGUAAGUCCCUUGUGAAAUCGGACCGCUCAACGGUUCGGCUUGCAAGGGAUACUGUCGGUCUUGAGGCUGAGAGACGUCGCAGGUACUCCGGGGGUAGCGGUGAAAUGCUGUAAUCCUCGGGGGACCACCAGUGGCGAAGGCGUGCGACGAGAGCGGACCUGACGGUGAGGGGCGAAGGCUAGGGGAGCGAACGGGAUUAGAUACCCCGGUAGUCCUAGCUAUAAAGCAUGCGGGCCAGGUGUCUGGUGUUCCUCGAGAUCACCAGGUGCCGGAGGGAAGCCGUUAAGCCCGCCGCCUGGGAAGUACGGCCGCAAGGCUGAAACUUAAAGAAAUUGGCGGGGGAGCACCACAAGGGGUGGGACCUGCGGUUCAAUCGGAUUCAACGCCGAAAAACUCACCAGGGGCGACAGCUGGUUGAAGGCCAGGUUGACGACCUUGCCGGACUAGCU
RNAcentral lists this ribosomal RNA (646 nucleotides) under uncultured archaeon. RNAcentral describes it as "bacterial SSU rRNA". It matches the Rfam family "Archaeal small subunit ribosomal RNA", at positions 339 to 981 of the family's 1478-position model. The record is from RNAcentral.